CGCAUGUAUUGUAUGGGUUCGUCCUCGAAUUGUUCAAUCCAAUUCGCGUAACAUCCUUAGAGAACCGAAAAAAGGGACGUUAUAUGAAAUGGAAAAAAAAAAAUUAUUCCAUAAAAAAUACAUAUUCUACAAAGUAAAAAGAUUCGCCUACUUAAUCAAAUACUAGUUUCUUUGAUCGAUAUACAUAUAUUUUGUGCAAUUAGUAUACUUGUUCCGAUGUAUAUGUAUGUAUAUAAAUAUAUACAUAGAUGAAGAACGCAACUGAAUACACAAGCAUUAAUAUUUACUAUGCUAUGCCUGGAUUGUACAUCCAUGUUUUAGAGGAUGCAAAAGGAAAUUGAAGACGAGAUUGUCGAUUCGCAAGCGGUCGAAGCGAGAAGCACGAUGAGUGUGAAAACUCUGCACGGACGUGGAGGAGCGUCUUAAAAAAAUCUUCGGGGAAAAGUACGGGAAAGGUAGAGUUUCCACGUGGUUUCCCGGGCACUUUCUUCUUUCCUGUCUGUUAGUCUACCGUCUUUACUCUUCCACCACGGAGAAUGGUUUGCUUUUUCCACGUCACGGAAUCGCCGCCGCAGAAAGCGGUGUGCAGACCUUGCAGUUGUUGAAUCUUCUGUGUUUGUACAUUAUCGCAGGAAGAAAGGGGAAUGUGGAUGUAUAAAAUGGAGCAUGAUAUAUAUUUUAUGUAUACUUUCUUAAUUAUAAUAAAAUUAUAAUUAUAAUCUUAAA
Long non-coding RNA from Wasmannia auropunctata (little fire ant), 726 nucleotides. RefSeq lists it as uncharacterized. The transcript has 2 exons. NCBI's taxonomy places the organism in Eukaryota, Metazoa, Arthropoda, Insecta, Hymenoptera, Formicidae. The record is from RefSeq and is a predicted model, not a curated record.